UUGCAGCCAAUUAAGCCAACCAUGCUCUUUUCCCCGCGGGGGGCCCGGUGUGCAAUGGCUGCAAACAGCAGCCUCCUCCGUAUUGUAUGCAGCCUGUUGCCUGUAUGGGUUGCCCUAAGAGACCCUGGGAACAGCC
This 136-nucleotide small nucleolar RNA is filed under the name Balaenoptera musculus (blue whale). RNAcentral's name for it is "Small nucleolar RNA SNORA70 (ENSBMSG00010018191.1)". It matches the Rfam family "Small nucleolar RNA SNORA70". From Rfam's summary of the family: snoRNA U70 seems to be exclusive to mammals and is a member of the H/ACA class of snoRNA which contain H (ANANNA) and ACA box motifs. H/ACA box snoRNAs are involved in the conversion of uridines to pseudouridines (5-ribosyluracil) a constituent of structural RNAs (transfer, ribosomal, small nuclear, and small nucleolar). Lineage: Eukaryota; Metazoa; Chordata; Mammalia; Artiodactyla; Balaenopteridae. The record is from Rfam by way of RNAcentral.